GACGAACGCUGGCGGCGUGCUUAACACAUGCAAGUCGAACGGUAAGGCCCCAGCUUGCUGGGGUACACGAGUGGCGAACGGGUGAGUAACACGUGGGUGACCUGCCCCGCACUUCGGGAUAAGCCUGGGAAACUGGGUCUAAUACCGGAUAGGACCGCACCGUGAGGGUGUGGUGGAAAGUUUUUCGGUGUGGGAUGGGCCCGCGGCCUAUCAGCUUGUUGGUGGGGUAAUGGCCUACCAAGGCGGCGACGGGUAGCCGUCCUGAGAGGGUGGACGGCCACAUUGGGACUGAGACACGGCCCAGACUCCUACGGGAGGCAGCAGUGGGGAAUAUUGCACAAUGGGCGGAAGCCUGAUGCAGCGACGCCGCGUGGGGGAUGACGGCCUUCGGGUUGUAAACUCCUUUCACCAUCGACGAAGGUUUUCUGACGGUAGAUGGAGAAGAAGCACCGGCUAACUACGU
RNAcentral lists this ribosomal RNA (463 nucleotides) under uncultured bacterium. RNAcentral describes it as "partial 16S ribosomal RNA". It matches the Rfam family "Bacterial small subunit ribosomal RNA", at positions 28 to 506 of the family's 1533-position model. The record is from RNAcentral.